GGAGUAUUCGGGUUCCGGGGGGAGUAUGGUCGCAAGGCCGAAACUUAAAGGAAUUGACGGAAGGGCACCACCAGGAGUGGAAUCUGCGGCUUAAUUUGACCCAACGCGGGAAAACUCACCAGGUCAGGACACGGUAAGGAUUGACGGACUGAAGGCUCUUUCUCGAUUCCGUGGAAAGUGGUGCAUGGCCGUUUUUGGUUGGUGGAUCGAUCCGUCUGGUUAAUUCCGUUAACGAACGAGACCUCGGCACUCCGAAUAGCGCGGCGGACGUCGCGGCCUCCGGGCCGUCUUCCGCACGAGCUUCUUAGAGGGACCGUCCCCCGCCGGGGAAGGAGGUGCGAGGCAACGACAGGUCUGUGAUGCCCUUAGAUGUUCUGGGGCCGCACGCGCAUUACACUGACGCGUCCAACGGGUGACUCCCGACCGAAGGGGCCGGGGAAUCCGCAAGGCGCGUCGUGAUGGGGAUUGAACGUUGCAAUUGUUGUUCACGAACGAGGAAUUCCUAGUAGGCGCGGGUCAUCAACCCGCGCCGAUUACGUCCCUGCCCUUUGUACACACCG
This 560-nucleotide ribosomal RNA is filed under the name uncultured eukaryote. RNAcentral describes it as "bacterial SSU rRNA". It matches the Rfam family "Eukaryotic small subunit ribosomal RNA", at positions 1100 to 1671 of the family's 1831-position model. The record is from RNAcentral.